CGGGACGGGUGAGUAAUGUCUGGGAAACUGCCUGAUGAGGGGGAUGACUACUGGAAACGGUAGCUAAUACCGCAUAACGUCGCAAGACCAAAGAGGGGGACCUUAGGGCCUCUUGCCAUCGGAUGUGCCCAGAUGGGAUUAGCUAGUAGGUGGGGUAACGGCUCACCUAGGCGACGAUCCCUAGCUGGUCUGAGAGGAUGACCAGCCACACUGGAACUGAGACACGGUCCAG
This 232-nucleotide ribosomal RNA is filed under the name uncultured bacterium. RNAcentral's name for it is "partial 16S ribosomal RNA". It matches the Rfam family "Bacterial small subunit ribosomal RNA", at positions 100 to 334 of the family's 1533-position model. The record is from RNAcentral.